UUAAGUUCAGCGGGUAUCCCUACCUGAUCCGAGGUCAACCUUAUGGUAAGUUGGGGUUGUUGGCAAGUACCAUCAAAGACCCUGUCGCGAGAAGAAAUUACUACGCGUAGAGCUUCAGAGCACCGCCACUAGUUUUGAGAGAGGCCUACCAGGCCAGCUCCAAGUCCACCACGAGGGUGAUUUGGUCAUUAUGACGCUCG
Molecule: unclassified non-coding RNA, 200 nt
Filed under: Helotiales sp.
Lineage: Eukaryota; Fungi; Ascomycota; Leotiomycetes; Helotiales
Description: partial internal transcribed spacer 2
Source: RNAcentral